RNAcentral lists this ribosomal RNA (463 nucleotides) under uncultured bacterium. RNAcentral's name for it is "partial 16S ribosomal RNA". It matches the Rfam family "Bacterial small subunit ribosomal RNA", at positions 28 to 507 of the family's 1533-position model. The record is from RNAcentral.
GACGAACGCUGGCGGCGUGCUUAACACAUGCAAGUCGAACGGUGAACCUUUUCGGAGGGGUUCAGUGGCGAACGGGUGUGUAACGCGUGGGCAACCUGCCUCCGGCUCUGGGAUAACUCCAAGAACUUGGGGCUAAUACCGGAUGUUCACUGCUUCCCGCAUGUGUGGUGGUAGAACGGGUUUCUGGCUGGGGAUGGGCCCGCGGCCUAUCAGCUUGUUGGGGGGGUAGUGGCCUACCAAGGCGACGACGGGUAGCCGGGCUGAGAGGGUGAGCGGCCACACUGGGACUGAGACACGGCACAGACUACUACGGGAGGCAGCAGAGGAGAAUGGAAGGCAAUGGACGGAAGGAUAAAGCAGCGAAGCGGCGUGGGGGAUAACGGCAAUCGGGUUGUAAACCACAAUCAGAAGGGAAGAAACGCAAGUGACGGUACCUGCAGAAGAAGCACCGGCCAACUACGUG